CACGUAGGGUGCGAGCGUUGUCCGGAAUUAUUGGGCGCAAAGAGCUCGUAGGCGGUGUGUCGCGUCGGCCGUGAAAACCUGCAGCUUAACUGUGGGCUUGCGGUCGAUACGGGCAUCACUGGAGUUCGGCAGGGGAGAGUGGAAUUCCUGGUGUAGCGGUGAAAUGCGCAGAUAUCAGGAGGAACACCGGUGGCGAAGGCGGGUCUCUGGGCCGAUACUGACGCUGAGGAGCGAAAGCGUGGGGAGCGAACAGG
This 254-nucleotide ribosomal RNA is filed under the name uncultured bacterium. Its description in RNAcentral is "partial 16S ribosomal RNA". It matches the Rfam family "Bacterial small subunit ribosomal RNA", at positions 524 to 776 of the family's 1533-position model. The record is from RNAcentral.